Long non-coding RNA from Mustela lutreola (European mink), 576 nucleotides. RefSeq lists it as uncharacterized. The transcript is spliced from 3 exons. The record is from RefSeq and is a predicted model, not a curated record. NCBI's taxonomy places the organism in Eukaryota, Metazoa, Chordata, Mammalia, Carnivora, Mustelidae.
AGAUAGUCCUGGGAUGGAGAUGGCUUGGGGGGGCCUUAUUCCCUCCACAUACGGACACCUGUCAAAAUGGGGAACCCCACGGUGCAAGUGGCUCCGUUCGGGGCCCAGAGAGUGAUGCUGCUGGCGGGCUGGACCUGUGGGGAGCCGCGUCCCUGAGGUACCUGGACGUGAGGGCCAAGAUCUCUGACCGGGACACUCUGAUGAGGUCGGGCCCCACCCCUGAAAAAAUCUCCCUAUCUUGAAGUCAGCGGAACAGUAACCUUCAUGGCAGACGCCGAGCUCCCUUCAUCUGGUUGACGUGAAACAGGGUCGUUGAUUGGAUCGGCGGCGCCGUUGGACGCUCCGCGGUCUUCCUGCCUUUCUACUUCCUUCUCUCCUUGUCCGACAGAGACGUGCUGAAAUCCUCCCAGAACUGUGGGUUUGGGGGCACCUGGAUGGCUCAGUAGGUCAAGUGAUGGCCUUUGGCUCAGGUCAUGAUCCUGGGGUCCUGGGAUUAAGCCUCGGGUCAGGCUCGUUGGGGAGUUUGCUUGUGCACAAGGGUGCGCCGGCUUUUGAAUAAAUAAAUAAAAUCUUUAG